CAGCAGCCGCGGUAAUACCAGCUCUCCGAGUUGUGGGGAUGUUUAUUGGGCCUAAAGCAUCCGUAGCCGGCUGGACAAGUCCUCUGUUAAAUCCAGCGACUAAUCGUUGGUCUGCGGGGGAUACUGUCCGGCUAGGGGGCGGGAGAGGCCGUCGGUAUUCUUGGGGUAGGGGUGAAAUCCUAUAAUCCCAGGAGGACCACCAGUGGCGAAGGCUGUCGGCUAGAACGCGCCCGACGGUGAGGGAUGAAAGCUGGGGGAGCGAACCGGAUUAGAUACCCGGGUAGUCCCAGCUGUAAACGAUGCAGGCUAGGUGUUAGGGCGGCUACGUGCCGCUCUAGUGCCGCAGGGAAGCUGUUAAGCCUGCCGCCUGGGGAGUACGGCCGCAAGGCUGAAACUCAAAGGAAUUGACGG
This 411-nucleotide ribosomal RNA is filed under the name uncultured archaeon. RNAcentral describes it as "bacterial SSU rRNA". It matches the Rfam family "Archaeal small subunit ribosomal RNA", at positions 459 to 871 of the family's 1478-position model. The record is from RNAcentral.